AGACCAUCCUGGCCAACAUGGUGAAACCCCAUCUCUACUAAAAAUACAAUAAUUAGCCAGGUGUGGUGGUGCACUCCUGUAAUCCCAGCUACUUGGCAGGCUGAGGCAGGAGAAUUACUUGAACCCAGGAGGCGGAGGUUGCAGUGAGCCGAGCAGGCGCCACUGCACUCCAGCCUGGCAACAGAGCAAGAUUCCAUCACACAUACACACACGCGCACACACACACACACGAAAGAAAUAGAAGGCAUAAUUUGUAGGUAGUAGGUUCCUAAAAAAAAAAAAACACAUGAAAGAUAGAGGAAAUUGUGCAGUUUGGGAAGUAAUCCUAGGACACACCUGUGGGGUAGUAGGAAAAUUGGAUAGGGAUGGGGUGUGUUAUACAACCAGUUACCACUAUAGACAAUGGAGUCUGAUCUUACUAGGAAUUUCUGGGAAAUAGUGGAGAACACUCCUUAGAAUUAUCUCAACUAAGCAGCUAGGAAGCUGGGGUAUUUAUACACCAACUCAUCAUCUAUCAGUGGUUAAAGCCUGUUUCUGAGGGCCUCAACAAUGAAAUUGGUUUGUGUGCAGAAAAACUGUACUCCUAAAGCCAGAGAGUCCCAGGCAGUUGUGGGAAGCCCCAUCAGUGUACUGAGAGAAGGAGAAAAAACCUGAAUCUCAGAGACUCACUGAAAAAGCCCCAGCAUUAGUACCGGUCAUGGCUCCUGGGCCAGGACUUCAAAGGAGCCUGGAACUGGCUGUAACUGGAAGGAGGUGGGGGAAUGAACACCUUUUCCAUUUUUCCCUGGCCUCUCUCUCUCCUGGGCAAGUUGGGGCAGGCUGAGUGGGCACAGGUCCUGGAUCUGCAUACCAGGGCUGGCGAGGUGCCUUUCGCUGGAAGUCCUGACUCCUUCUCAAUGCACAAGGACGCCCUUCUGCUGCCAAAGCUGGCUGGUGGUUCUUUCUGGAAUGGCAGCUUUCCCCAUCCCCCUUCAGGCUUGGGUCGAUCUUCUGGCAGGCAAACGUACUAAAGAGUUACAGGUGGUGCAGAUACGGUUUGGAAGGAAUCCCAGCUGGGCCUCCUCCCAGAAGCCUUCUGAUCACUCACCAGAUAACUCUAGCUGCUUGCAGAGUCCUGGGAAUCUUAGCUUCUCCAGGAAACCAGCUUCAAGGGCAACAAGAGGUUCUGAGGAGCUAGAAUAAUCUCGGAAGCUGAAACUGCUUUGUCCUUUUGCUUCCUUAGGUUGGAAAUAUUUUUGCAAUACCACUGAAUCCUCCAGUUUUUACCCCUUACGAUGGGAAGUGAAUACAGUAUGAAAAGGGAGUGGGACAUAUGAGAGGAACGACAGGCUCAAAAUAUGAAGACUUAAUCCAGACACCUCUGUGUCUCUGAACUUGCGUUGUUUCUUCUUUGGAGGUGAAGUACACAUCGUUUUACUCCGGGCAGAGGACUUGUGCUCCUUUUGAGAACUUUCAGCUCUGUAGUGUCGAGUCUUCUGGUUUCCAGAUCCACAUCCUGCCCUGGGGGAAUUGACAUCCAUCAGAUUUUCAACUGGUGGUCUGCUGUGAUGCAGAGGAACUGCUUCAUUCUUUCAAUCCCUCAGACCUGGACUUCUCAUUCACCAUCUGUUCUGAUCUUGGCGACCUGCCUGAGACUUUGAGCCACAUUUGAAUCCUUGGCUGUUCUCUUCUGCUGCCUACACCCUGGCCUGACCCAGAGAACUUCAUAAGGACACAGACAAACAUAGGAGAAAUAGUUACAGGACAUGGCACAUAAAGGGAAGGCCUAUGUGAAUUAGAGAGGUGAGGGAUGAUUUCCCAGAGGAGGUGGGACAUGAAGGGUAGAUUAACUCAGUUUUUCCUCUUCCUGUUGGUAGUAAGUGUUGCAUGAACCCACAUGUAAUAAAA
This 1887-nucleotide long non-coding RNA is filed under the name Homo sapiens (human). RNAcentral's name for it is "HSALNT0165979". Lineage: Eukaryota; Metazoa; Chordata; Mammalia; Primates; Hominidae. The record is from RNAcentral.